AAUUCUCGACUGCCUCUCGGGGUGAAGUCGGAUUUGAAGCAUGUUUUUGCCAGGCUUUGUUGCUCUGGCUGCUUCUAAAAGCAUUCGAGCCCCUCUUGUGCAAAAGUAUCUUUGACGUGAUAACCAAUCUGCGUCGUGGAGAAAAAGAGACUAGCGAUGGGCUCGUCAACGGUUUUGGUGUUGACCU
Molecule: unclassified non-coding RNA, 187 nt
Filed under: uncultured Sarcodon
Lineage: Eukaryota; Fungi; Basidiomycota; Agaricomycetes; Thelephorales; Thelephoraceae
Description: sequence contains ITS2
Source: RNAcentral